GGGGUUGUGGCUCAGUGGUAGAGCGUCUGCUUUUGGCAUGCAGAAGGUGCCAGGUUCAAUCCCCGGCAUCUCCA
This is a non-coding RNA of Heteronotia binoei (common prickly gecko), 74 nucleotides long. The record is from the annotation of a RefSeq genome assembly. NCBI's taxonomy places the organism in Eukaryota, Metazoa, Chordata, Lepidosauria, Squamata, Gekkonidae.